This is a non-coding RNA of Malus domestica (apple), 1143 nucleotides long. The record is from RefSeq and is a predicted model, not a curated record. Lineage: Eukaryota; Viridiplantae; Streptophyta; Magnoliopsida; Rosales; Rosaceae.
UACUCUUUCCAAUAUUAUCAUUCAGCUAUUGCAUUUCUUUCCAUUGUUCAUCUCUUUUUUUCUACUUUGCAUAUUUCAAUUCUUGUAAGAAUUAUACUUUCUUGAAUUCAUAUUAGUAGUGUUAAGAUGGUAUCGACCCUGCGAUCUUCUGUGGGUUUGAAGCUCAAAGAUUGAAGUUUUUCAAGGUGGAUUUCUUAUGGGUUUUAUCUCUCUUUUACCAUGUUUCCUGUGAUAUGUGUAACGAUAUCUUCAAUUUCAGCGAUUGUAGUUAUCAUUGCAAUCUAUGAUGCUAAGAUGGAAUCGGACAAAACAUCAGUGAAGAACUGGCACAAGAAUAUGAAACACUACAUUAUACUUCAUCUACUUCAGUACAAGAUCAACCUCAACCUUUGUUAUCUAUCCUAGAUCCUGCAUAGCUUCAGGUACUUAUUCCAAUCUCAGUUUUUGAUAAUGAACACUUUAUGAGUUCUUCUAAUUCUGAAGUACAUAGAGUGCAUCCAAUGAAUACUAGAUUGCAAUCAAGAAUCAUUAGCAGGAAAGAUUAUACUACAUAUUAUUAAUUUUUACCUGAAUUACAGUUUCUUCAAUUGGAUGAUUAUUAUAUGUGUUGUGAUGGUUUCUUAUUUGGUUGAAACUAUGGAUUGUGAAGAACCUAAGAACUUUAGAAUUGCUACAACUAAUUCUUAUUGGUAGCAAGCAAUGCAGGAAAAGUUUGAAACUCAAGGAACAUGGAUUUUGGUACCUCCUCCAAGUGAUAAGACAAUAGUUGAGAUCAAAUGGGUUUAUAAAGUUAAGAAGAACACAGAUUGAAGUAUUGCUAAAUACAAAGUUGAGUUGGUUGCUCAAGAUUAUACACAGAAGCAUGGUUUGGACUAUUCUGAAAUCUUUAGUCUUGUAGUGAGGCAUACAACAGUUAGGUUGAUUCUUGCUCUUGCUACAUGUCAUAAAUGGGAGCUUAGACAAUUGGAUAUCAAAAAUGUUUUUUUGUAUGGUGAGUUACAGGAAGACAUUUUCAUGAAACAACCAUAAGGUUUUGUAGAUCCAAAUGUCCCAAUUAUGUUUUUAAGUUGGCUAAAUCUUUAUAUGGACUUAAACAAGCUCCAAGAGCUUGGAAUUCAAAGUUUACUGGAGUUUUACUUCUUU